Molecule: transfer RNA, 59 nt
Filed under: Orthocoelium streptocoelium
Lineage: Eukaryota; Metazoa; Platyhelminthes; Trematoda; Plagiorchiida; Paramphistomidae
Description: tRNA-Ser
Source: RNAcentral
GAAGGUUGUUAUAUUAUCGCUGCUAACGAUGAUAGGGAUGCUAGGCUAUCCGACUUUCU